CAGCAGCAACAUGGUGGAGAUCUGCAGCUUCAUGCUGGUCAACUGGAAGACAACUGAUUAAGAUUAAAAGAUUAAGAUUAAAAUCCAUGUAUUCAUCCAAAACACAUGCACAGACAUGCAAAGGCACACUCAUGCAGAUGAAGAACUGCAGCACCUGAUGUCCUCAGCAGCAACAUGGUGGAGAUCUGAUUUGAUACACUUUAGAUAAGAACCCAGUGUUUUAUAUUUCUGCUUUGCCAUAAGAGACAGAACAUGGUCAUCACAGCUGUGUCCUUCAGGCUCGUCUGUCCCUAAUAAAAUGAUAGGAAACAUGAAAGUGAUCGUCAUUAUUGUAGAGGAAGAGUUACAUAUGAACAAAGUGUGUAAUCUUAUUUUCUGUGGAUAUUCAACUGUGUAUUUGAAUAUGCUUUUGGAUUAAAACGUGCACUACCA
Platichthys flesus (European flounder) is the source of this 432-nucleotide long non-coding RNA. RefSeq lists it as uncharacterized. Lineage: Eukaryota; Metazoa; Chordata; Actinopteri; Pleuronectiformes; Pleuronectidae. The record is from RefSeq and is a predicted model, not a curated record. The transcript has 2 exons.